UACGUAGGGUCCGAGCGUUGUCCGGAAUUACUGGGCGUAAAGAGCUCGUAGGUGGUUUGUCGCGUUGUUCGUGAAAACUCACAGCUCAACUGUGGGCGUGCGGGCGAUACGGGCAGACUUGAGUACUGCAGGGGAGACUGGAAUUCCUGGUGUAGCGGUGGAAUGCGCAGAUAUCAGGAGGAACACCGGUGGCGAAGGCGGGUCUCUGGGCCGGAACUGACGCUGAGGAGCGAAAGCGUGGGGAGCGAACAGG
RNAcentral lists this ribosomal RNA (253 nucleotides) under uncultured bacterium. Its description in RNAcentral is "partial 16S ribosomal RNA". It matches the Rfam family "Bacterial small subunit ribosomal RNA", at positions 524 to 776 of the family's 1533-position model. The record is from RNAcentral.